Molecule: long non-coding RNA, 1637 nt
Organism: Peromyscus leucopus (white-footed mouse)
Lineage: Eukaryota; Metazoa; Chordata; Mammalia; Rodentia; Cricetidae
Exons: 3
Source: RefSeq, a predicted model, not a curated record
UCCCACAGAUUUAAGGAACUAUUAAACUCUGUAAUAUUUUCUAUAUAACAUAGGAGUUCUGACUUGAUUAGGAUUAGGACUAAAAGUAUGUGCUUACUUAGAGUAUAGAACAGGAAUGGUAAAUAAGUAAAUUUGACCUAGGGAGAUUAGAAAAGAAUUCGAAGAUGUACUAAGAAAUAUUUGUCUUGAACACUGUGUAGAGGUGUUUUGUGAAUUUGUUUGUCUCUGUUUGACUGAAGGUUAAAAGUGAUGGAAGGGAAGAGAGGAAGUAAUUACAUAUGAUAUAGCAGAAAACUUACGUGGAUCACUUUUCAUGAGCCUUGGGUAGUGUUCAUAGAUAGCUUCAUGUCAGCUUCCCACACUCUUGUUGAUCACAAAGUCUGCUUUCUGGUUCAUAUUGUCAUAGGUAAGCAUGAAAUAAAUCUUUCUAUCAAGAAGAGCCAGUUUUCUCUAAAGUUGGGGACUGAUGUCAAGGUUGAAACUGGGUGCUAAGGGUACUUCUUGCAAAUGAAGUAACAAGGCGUGUGCAUAUGCCACACCGUAUGUGUGGAGGUCAGACGGCAACAAUUUCUUUUUAUCCAGUGUCCCAGGGACUGAACUCGGUUCACCUGACUUGGCAGCAAAUGCCUUUACCUACUAGACCAUUUCACUAUCCCUCUUAAUUCCUCUUUAUUUUUCACUGCCAAACAAUAUAUCAUUGUAUGGAUUUAUAACAUUGUUAGUGGACAUUUGUGUUAUUUCUACUUUUUAAAGCUAUUAUGAAUAAUGCUACUAUCAACAUUUAAGUACAUGUCUUUGUAUAAUUUUUUUCCUUUUAGGUUUGUAGACAGGAAUGGAAUUUCUGAAUCAUUUGGAAAUUCUAUGUGGAAAAUUUUGAGGAAUUAUCAAACAAUUUUGGAACAGUAUUUUGGAAACUAUUGUUUUCUAUAUUGACAGCAUACCCACCAGCAAUGUAGGAGUGAAAAAAGCCCUUUCCCAUCAGGCUGGGUCUGGAAAAGAGAAGAAAUAAUAUACUAAGGGAGAAACACAGGACAAGGUCUAGCUGCAAUUUGAGAAGAAUUUGGAAAUAAGGAGAUAAGUAUUCUUGCACUCCAAUGAAGGGCAGAAGUCAGUCUACUCCGUGAUCUACAGUCUGGAUCUCAUAUCUGGGAGUUGAAUCUCUCUUGCAUGUGGGGCAAGUGCAGAUUGUGCAACAGAGGCUCCUGUGUGCAUCUGACAGGAGAAGUUUGUUCCAAGUGUCAUAGUGUUGUUUUCAUCUUGAUAGACUAGUACAAUCUGGCGGGAUGGUGGGGGAGGGGUUGGGCGCUGGGGAUGGGGGAGUGCUCAGGUCAAUGAACAAUGAGAGCUUACAUGCCGUAUGUAGAAAUGAAGCUCAGUGGAAGGGGUAGGUGAGCUGAGGCAAUGGGGAAAGGGUAGCAUUUGCAAAGGCUGCAAAAGACAGAAAGAAAUCUGCAAUGGGUCCUGGAAAAGUUGAUGGGAAAUUCAGUAACACGUCCACUAACUCAGCACCAGCACCGUCCACCAUCCUUCGGCUAUGAUGAGAAUUUAAAGUUCAAGAGAGAGUGAGGGGGCUGGAGAGAUGGUUCAGUGGUUAAGAGCCCUGGAUGCUCUUCCAGAGGACCUGGGUUCAUUUCCCA